NCUUGAGAUGUUAUGUGUUGAUAGACCGUGGAUCACUCGGCUCGU
RNAcentral lists this ribosomal RNA (45 nucleotides) under Nicrophorus americanus (American burying beetle). RNAcentral's name for it is "partial 5.8S ribosomal RNA". The record is from RNAcentral. Lineage: Eukaryota; Metazoa; Arthropoda; Insecta; Coleoptera; Silphidae.